GGCUCAGAAUGAACGUUGGCGGCGUGGAUUAGGCAUGCAAGUCGUACGGGCCGCAAGGCCAGUGGCGCAAGGGUGAGUAAGGCGACGGUAACCAACCCCGUGAUCGGAACUAGCCGCGGGAAACUGCGGGUAAUGUCCGGCGACGUCCGUGGGGGGCAUCCCCUACGGACCAAAGCCCCGGCGUCGCGGGACGGGCCGUCGUGGUAUUAGCUUGUUGGCGGGGUAACGGCCCACCAAGGCUGUGAUGCCUACCGGGCGUGCGAGCGUGGCCCGGCACACUGGGACUGAGACACUGCCCAGACUCCUACGGGAGGCUGCAGUCGAGAAUCUUCGGCAAUGGGCGCAAGCCUGACCGAGCGACGCCGCGUGGAGGACGAAGGCCUUCGGGUUGUAAACUCCUGUCGAGGGGGAAGAAGGGGCGGCAACGCCCUUGACUGAUCCCUGGAGGAAGCACGGGCUAAGUUCGUGCCAGCAGCCGCGGUAAGACGAACCGUGCGAACGUUAUUCGGAGUCACUGGGCUUAAAGCGCGUGUAGGCGGGACGGCACGUCGGUCGCUGAAAUCCCCCGGCUUAACCGGGGAACGGGCGCCGAUACGACCGCCCUGGAGGGACGUAGGGGGGGCUGGAACUUCCGGUGGAGCGGUGAAAUGCGUUGAGAUCGGAAGGAACGCCCGUGGCGAAAGCGAGCCCCUGGACGUCUACUGACGCUGAGACGCGAAAGCCAGGGGAGCGAACGGGAUUAGAUACCCCGGUAGUCCUGGCCGUAAACGAUGGGCACUGGGUAGGGGGCUCGCCGAUGGGCUCCCUGCCGUAGGGAAACCGUGAAGUGCCCCGCCUGGGGAGUAUGGUCGCAAGGCUGAAACUC
RNAcentral lists this ribosomal RNA (865 nucleotides) under uncultured bacterium. RNAcentral's name for it is "bacterial SSU rRNA". It matches the Rfam family "Bacterial small subunit ribosomal RNA", at positions 21 to 902 of the family's 1533-position model. The record is from RNAcentral.